AGAGACAGCAGUAGCCACGGAAUACAGAGGGUGCGAGCGUUAAUCGGAUUUACUGGGCGUAAAGCGUGCGUAGGCGGCUUCUUAAGUCGGAUGUGAAAUCCCUGAGCUUAACUUAGGAAUUGCAUUCGAUACUGGGAAGCUAGAGUAUGGGAGAGGAUGGUAGAAUUCCAGGUGUAGCGGUGAAAUGCGUAGAGAUCUGGAGGAAUACCGAUGGCGAAGGCAGCCAUCUGGCCUAAUACUGACGCUGAGGUACGAAAGCAUGGGGAGCAAACAGGAUUAGAUACCCGCGUAGUCCCUGUCUCUUAUACA
RNAcentral lists this ribosomal RNA (309 nucleotides) under uncultured bacterium. RNAcentral's name for it is "partial 16S ribosomal RNA". It matches the Rfam family "Bacterial small subunit ribosomal RNA", at positions 504 to 808 of the family's 1533-position model. The record is from RNAcentral.